AUAAUUAAGGUAAGUGUAACGUACAUUUGCAUUUUGCAACAGAAACAGCUUCUUAUAGAGUAUUGUUUUACAGGCUAAUCUUUUUUUAUGUAAUGUAUUCAAGUGUAAUUAUAAUUAGGAUUGGGAUAAUACAAAAAUAUACUUUUUGCUUAGUGAUUUCUAUUACAUUGUGACAGAAUUUGGUUUCUCAAUAAUUCUCAUCCUGAGUGCCAAACUGAUCAACUGCAUCCUAAUGGAACGUCAAAGAUGUGAUUCAGUAACUGAUACGGUUGUUGCAAUAAUUAUUUUUGACCAAAUUGAAUCCAAAAAUAAUUGAAGAAAUGGUUUCAGAUGAUUACGAAUAAGCGCAGCUAUAUCUGGAGAGGUAAUGCACCUACUGAUAUCCCGUGAUAAGAACUUGGGAGAGAUUUAGUGAAAACCUGGAGAACGGCCACUUAGCUCACAAAUCUGAGCUGUUCACAUCAAGCUGAUAUUUGUGACAGCCAUUAUAGCUUUAAUCAUGUAAGUAAACACUUGAUCAUACUAUAAUUUUCAAUUAUUUGUAACAAUUAACUGCGCCCGGUUCUACUCAGAAUAACAAAGGCACAGGUUUCUUUCUUUAAACUAGAACAGU
RNAcentral lists this long non-coding RNA (613 nucleotides) under Nilaparvata lugens (brown planthopper). Its description in RNAcentral is "uncharacterized LOC111054646". The record is from RNAcentral. Lineage: Eukaryota; Metazoa; Arthropoda; Insecta; Hemiptera; Delphacidae.